Molecule: small RNA, 118 nt
Filed under: Arabidopsis thaliana (thale cress)
Lineage: Eukaryota; Viridiplantae; Streptophyta; Magnoliopsida; Brassicales; Brassicaceae
Description: ATSL087950
Source: RNAcentral
UCUCCCUGAAAGUAGCUAAUUCAAAGCAGAACGAGAACAGAUGGCUUGCACGCUCUACCUUUUCAUCUCUUGCAACAUCUCAUCUGCAACUAUCACUUAUCGAUUUCUUGCACCUAUA